UCAGAUCUUAGAGCUCUAAGUUGAAACCAUUGUUUCAUACCUGAGCUAUUUGGUCUUGAUUAGCACUCGGGGACCCUCCGUGCCGUUGAUAUUCCGUGACCUCUCGCAUUACCUGGUUAUUUCACAAGAACAACAAAGCAAUCUCAGUACAUUAUGGAGCUAUUCCAUAGGACGAUGGUCAUGAUUCUAGGGCGGACCUGUGCCUUAGAGCCUAAAAAUGAAGUUUGAACUAGCUUAAUUACGUUUUGAUUUCUGUACUCUCUUUCUAAGACAAUGUAACACCUUUGUUUAUAAAUAAAAUACAACUUGUAUGC
RNAcentral lists this long non-coding RNA (314 nucleotides) under Helianthus annuus (common sunflower). RNAcentral's name for it is "hypothetical non coding rna". The record is from RNAcentral. Lineage: Eukaryota; Viridiplantae; Streptophyta; Magnoliopsida; Asterales; Asteraceae.